Molecule: ribosomal RNA, 460 nt
Filed under: uncultured bacterium
Lineage: Bacteria
Description: partial 16S ribosomal RNA
Rfam family: Bacterial small subunit ribosomal RNA
Source: RNAcentral
CCUACGGGUGGCAGCAGUGAGGAAUAUUGGUCAAUGGACGAGAGUCUGAACCAGCCAAGUAGCGUGAAGGCUGACUGCCCUAUGGGUUGUAAACUUCUUUUAUAUGGGAAUAAAACGUUCCACGUGUGGGAUUUUGUAUGUACCAUAUGAAUAAGGAUCGGCUAACUCCGUGCCAGCAGCCGCGGUAAUACGGAGGAUCCGAGCGUUAUCCGGAUUUAUUGGGUUUAAAGGGAGCGUAGGUGGAUUGUUAAGUCAGUUGUGAAAGUUUGCGGCUCAACCGUAAAAUUGCAGUUGAAACUGGCAGUCUUGAGUACAGUAGAGGUGGGCGGAAUUCGUGGUGUAGCGGUGAAAUGCUUAGAUAUCACGAAGAACUCCGAUUGCGAAGGCAGUUCACUGGACUGCAACUGACACUGAGGCUCGAAAGUGUGGGUAUCAAACAGGAGUAGAUACCCUGGUAGUC